Molecule: non-coding RNA, 125 nt
Organism: Cephalotus follicularis
Lineage: Eukaryota; Viridiplantae; Streptophyta; Magnoliopsida; Oxalidales; Cephalotaceae
Source: Rfam
GGGUGCGAUCAUACCAGCACUAAUGCAUGGGAUUCCAUCAGAACUUCGUAGUUAAGCAUGCUUGGGCGAGAAUAGUUCUAAGAUGGGCUUGUCAUAUGACUUUCAUAGAUACAGGAUUGUGGCUU